GAAGAAGGCGGGGUUUCGGGUGCACCAAGGGAGAUACUCAAGGUCACUUUGUAACAACUUUAUUGGCAACUAGCCGGGAAGGACAACGACAACCACCUGGUGAUUGGGCAAGCAAUCCUUGAAUUAUGUACAUUUAAUUUAGUAAUUCUAACAAAUGGCUAAUGGAAGUGAUAUCAACACGUCAACAUAAAAGAUUAAACAUCUAGAAUGCCCUGCUAAGAAGAUGGCUGGGGACUGAACUCCAGCCCAUUCUGCCUAGAGCCCUGGCAUGAGACAACAUCAACCCGGAGGAUCAGCUUUUUACUUGUUAGCGCAAAGAUCUAAUGUCUGGAUGGGAGGCAGCAAUAUUACAACUACAAGAACAAAAGUCACACGUUGAGGAUGGAGAAUCUGGAAAGUAGGAACCGGAAUUUUUCACUUUUUUUUGGAGUAAGCAGCCCUUAAUUGCCUAUUUAUGGAGUUCAUGUCACAUGAAAAAAAUAAAUCUCUAUUUGGCUAAGUCACUGAAGCCAGUUUCUGUUAUAUGCAGCUAAACACAACCCAAACUAAUAGAUAAUUUUGUAGACUUACAUCUCUGAAGAUCUUUGGCCUUUGGGCUGUGAUUACAGCUGAAGUGCCCCUUCUCCCCCCAAAUUUACAUUAAUUUACAUCUGCCUUUUCUUCCUUAUUUGAUGGUAUGGUAUGUCUGCUAGGGACCAAUCAAUAGAUCAAAAACAUACCUGUGAUUUGAACAGGGAAAAUUUAACAUAAAAAAAACCAUUAACCAGUGAAAGAUGUCUAAAAGGAGCAGAGUGGACUCUAAGGGGUCCAGUGGUACUCCUGUAGGCAUGGCUACUAACCUUGGCUGAAGAAGAACGUACAAGAAGAAGGAACCUGAGAAAUUUAGAGGAGAAUGUGUGACUGCCACAAGAAUGUGUAGUCCACCUGUGCUGAAGAAACUUGCUGGAAGCAUGGGCCGUAAAUGAAUUGUGAGGACUGUAGAGGUGAAUACUACUAGGCCCUGCCUGCAAACCAAUCCACUGGCUCCACACAAAAAAGUCUACCGGAAGAAGAAUGUCAAGUCCUUUCCUCUGCUCUGGCCUCCCAGUGUCUCUCCAUCAUCUUCUAUUGGCAGAACCUAUCAUUUUACCAUUGCCAAAGCAGAAAUUUGGCAGGGUCCAGCUUACAGGGUCCAGCUCCAGAAUAACAAAGCAAGGGAAAAAAAGAUGGAUUUGUAGCUGAGAAGUCAUAAGUUAUAAGUCAAUAACUUAAGAACUCAUAAGUUAAUAACUAGCACAGAUAGUAAGAUUCUCAACGGCAGGCAUUAUGUCUAAUGCAUGCUAUGUCUCUCAUAGCACCUAACAGAGUGUUAAACAUAGUAGUCACUCAAUAAAUGUUUUCUUGAUAAUAAAUAGUAUGUAUG
RNAcentral lists this long non-coding RNA (1402 nucleotides) under Macaca mulatta (Rhesus monkey). RNAcentral describes it as "lncRNA (ENSMMUG00000063032.1)". The record is from RNAcentral. Lineage: Eukaryota; Metazoa; Chordata; Mammalia; Primates; Cercopithecidae.